This 1244-nucleotide long non-coding RNA is filed under the name Phocoena sinus (vaquita). RNAcentral describes it as "lncRNA (ENSPSNG00000011899.1)". The record is from RNAcentral. Lineage: Eukaryota; Metazoa; Chordata; Mammalia; Artiodactyla; Phocoenidae.
UAAGGGUGGCGCUACUUUCUGCUAUUUGCCUCGGGGAUGUGUGUAAUUUGCAGUCUUGCUCAGAGGGCGAGUAGAGGGGGAGCUUCAGAGGCUCCCACUUGUCCUUUCCCACUUUUAUUCACAGGCUAAGGAACCAGUGUGGAUAUGUGAGUGUUCUGGCAACUUCCAAGUAUUAUCUAUUUCAGCCUACUCUGAAGUAGACCUGGGUCCAUCUAUUACCUGGCCCACACACACAAUUUUUCUACCGGGGGGACGUGUUUGUAUCAUACUGGGUAUCAUUUUUCAACUCAGACCUUGUGUCCGAUGGUUCUCAAAGUAUUAAGUAUUGGGCUAUUUCCUUUCCCCAGGGUAUAGUUACCCAGGUAAAUACCUGCCAGUCCCUUUGUAGAAGGACUGGGGUAAUCUCUGUCAUAUAGUCUUGCCAAGGUGUUGCAGGGUACUUCUACCUAAGGACCUGACCUUUGCUUAAGUCAACGGGCCCUGAGUCCAGAACUUAAUCCAGGUCCAGAAGCUGGUCAGAGAAUUCUGACUUUAUUGGCACAGCUGCCCUCAGCCUGUUCCAGAUCCUUUCUCUUGACCAGUGCAUCUGGAGGCCAUGUUAAACUACAGAUUGCUGGUCCCCACCCCCCCAGAGUUUCUAACUGAGUAGGUCUGGGCUGGGGCCUGAGAAUUGGUUUCUGACAAUUUUCCAGGCAAUGCUGAUGCUACUGGUCAGAGACUACACUUUGAAAACACUGUGUAUAGUUUGAUCUCGGGACUCAUCUCCGGGCUCCAGCCAUUUCCACAGCUCUGUGUGAGUGUCUCCCUGCUGUUCUGACCCGGCUCCUCAGUGAGGCGUUUACUCCCACCUUGCUUCUGACAGUUAAGCAUUGUCAUCUGGCCUCUAGGGUUCUGGGAUCUUCUCUCUCCACGUGGAUCAAUCAUCGGAUGUAGGCUGCCCCUGGGGAGAGGGCCUGUCCUUGGGCUAGGGCUCUGGGCUGAGCGUAAUCUCCGGGGGCGGAGACUCAGCUGUGAGCUGUCAUUGCGGUAAGCGGGCCUCUCACUGUUGUGGCAUCUCCCGUUGCGGAGCACAGGCUCCGGACGCGCAGGCUCAGCGGCCAUGGCUCACGGGCCCAGCCGCUCCGCGGCAUGUGGGAUCUUCCCGGACCGGGGCACGAACCCGUGUCCCCUGCAUUGGCAGGCAGACUGUCAACCACUGCGUCACCAGGGAAGCCCUGAUGCAAUACUUUUAAAAGUCAAAGCAC